AGGUCCUUACCUUUUUUUCUUCUUUUGACGCACUUUCAUCACGUUAGUCUUGUCUUAGCUUUUCUCAUUCCAUCAUUUCCUUUUCGGACAGAAGAGUCAAACACUUGUGCCAAUCUGCCUUACUUUGGAUGCUUGUCUGUUAUCAGCUGGUACUAUCCGAUUUUGAAUACUUGCAUGGAAUGGUACUGUACAAUUUUGAACAAUUUUGUCUAUUAUUGGACAGUCCAUGCAAUUUAGGAAACUUUUGACUGUUUUUGGAUCAUAGGGUUUGAUUUUGAGCAAUGUCUCUUUGGGGAUGGCCUUAUGGUCCAAUUUUGGACACCUAUGAUUGUUUUACAAUGCAUUUAAGAUGAUAGUGCCUGUUUGUGACCUCAUCUGUCAGUCUUUGGAUGGUACCAUUCGAUUUUGACGACCUGUUGUCAGGAAAGGGUUCUUUGAAAAAAACUGUAUACUAAUCAAAUGUGAAUUUUGACUGGGGAAGGCUAGGUUGGUCUCUAUGGUUUCCUCUUAGCAUUUGCUUGUGUUGCAAAAAUAGACCCUAGCUAAUAUGUCCUUGCCUGUGCACUUUUUUCAAAGAUUGGAAACAAGAAAUGAAGAUAAAGCAAGCAACUCCAUCACCAUUUUAUAUUGGUGUUGUGGAGAUAAAGUACUUCUAUUUGAGGGCGUCAUGGUAACCUCUUCAUCUUUUGAAAGCAAUUCCUCUUAAUAAGGGAACAUCAGGUCCUUGACAGCAUUGACUUUUGUGUCUGAUGAGUGAGAGGAAUAACUUUUAAGUUAAAGUUGAUAUAAAAAGCCAGAGUUGCCCUGAGGUGUAUAACAUUUAGGCAGGAGGUCAGCACACUAAGGCAGCAGAAAGAACUCCAAGGGCUAAGCUCUCACUUCAAAAGAACUCUAUAAUGCCAGUUGAAGACAGCCCAUAGAUGGGGAGUGAAAAACACCCAUAAAAGGAGUGCUGGAAUGGAUAUAUUUUUAGAAGCUUUUAAUCAUUGGCCUUCUUCCCUUUUUUGGAACUAAUUCAACUUAGAGGAGAUAAACUUUACAGUCAAGUCUUAAUAGUGUGGUUCAAGAGCAAAGUGAAA
RNAcentral lists this long non-coding RNA (1079 nucleotides) under Pocillopora damicornis (cauliflower coral). RNAcentral describes it as "uncharacterized LOC113686863, transcript variant X1". The record is from RNAcentral. Lineage: Eukaryota; Metazoa; Cnidaria; Anthozoa; Scleractinia; Pocilloporidae.